CUGGUCUGAUGGAACAAGCUGGGAAGUGUUUCCUCCUCUUGUAUUUUCUGGAACAGUUUGUGAAGAAUCGACGCUCUUUAAACAUUUGGUAGAAUUCACCAGUGAAGUUAUCUGGGUCUGGGCAUUUCUUUUUGGGAAGUCUCUAAAUGACUAAUUCAAUCUCUUCAUUUCUUAUAGGUAUAUUCAGGUUUUCUAUUUCUUCUGGAGUCAGUUUUGGUAUUCUGUUUCUCUAGAAACUUGUCCAUUUUUAUAAGUUAUCUGAUUUGUUGUUGUUGUUCAUCAUAUUUCUGUAUAAUUGUUUUAAUUUCAUGGCUAUGUUUAUUGUUUAUAUGUUUGGGGAGAAUAUUCUGUUCCCUCAUGGCAUAAGGACCUCACCGAUCUCCCCUCUGGAAAAGAGCCUAAAACAACUUAAUCGACACAUUAUCCUUUCAUUCAUGUUAUUGGGCUACUAUCACAUGCCAGCAUUCUUCUAGGCCCUAGAGACACAUCAGUCAGUGGACAAGUCUCCCCUUCUCAUAGUAGAGGAUCAAUAAUAGAAAUAUUUAAAAUCUAAGUUCAAUUUGAGACAAGUGUUAUGAAGAAAAUAAAGUGAAGGGAUAGAAUAGAAAGUGACUGGUCAGGGGCUGGGAGGAUGGAAUGCUCCAAAACUUCCACAUAUGCUAUCCUCAUCCAUGAAUAUGAUUUGCUACCAAUCACUUCCACAUAGGUGAGUUUAAAAGACCACUUACCGACCCAUCUCCUAGACUAAUACAGUAAUUGUACUAUGUACAGAGGCCAUUUUUUCAACUCCCAAUCUCUGCUUCUAAGUAUAAUUUAUUUUAGUAUAUGGAAUAUUUUGCUUUUCUCACUCUGUACAACACGUGCUGCUUUGUGUUAAUUUGUUUCCAUAGGUGAAGAUGGAGUGAUUGGGAUGAUGGGCUUUCCUGGAGCCAUUGGCCCUCCAGGGCCCCCUGGGAACCCAGGCACACCAGGGCAGAGGGGGAGCCCUGGAAUUCCAGGAGUAAAGGGCCAGAGAGGAACCCCAGGAGCCAAGGGGGAACAAGGAGAUAAAGGAAAUCCCGGGCCUUCAGAGAUAUCCCACGUAAUAGGGGACAAAGGAGAACCAGGUCUCAAAGGAUUCGCAGGAAAUCCAGGUGAGAAAGGAAACAGAGGCGUUCCAGGGAUGCCAGGUUUAAAGGGCCUCAAAGGACUACCCGGACCAGCAGGACCACCAGGCCCCAGAGGAGAUUUGGGCAGCACUGGGAAUCCUGGAGAACCAGGACUGCGUGGUAUACCAGGAAGCAUGGGGAACAUGGGCAUGC
Molecule: long non-coding RNA, 1301 nt
Filed under: Homo sapiens (human)
Lineage: Eukaryota; Metazoa; Chordata; Mammalia; Primates; Hominidae
Description: long non-coding RNA NONHSAT183675.1
Source: RNAcentral